AGUGAACGCUGGCGGUAGGCCUAACACAUGCAAGUCGAACGGCAGCACAGUAAGAGCUUGCUCUUACGGGUGGCGAGUGGCGGACGGGUGAGGAAUACAUCGGAAUCUACUUUUUCGUGGGUGAUAACGUAGGGAAACUUACGCUAAUACCGCAUACGACCUACGGGUGAAAGCAGGGGAUCUUCGGACCUUUCGCGAUUGAAUGAGCCGAUGUCGGAUUAGCUAGUUGGCGGGGUAAAGGCCCACCAAGGCGACGAUCCGUAGCUGGUCUGAGAGGAUGAUCAGCCACACUGGAACUGAGACACGGUCCAGACUCCUACGGGAGGCAGCAGUGGGGAAUAUUGGACAAUGGGCGCAAGCCUGAUGCAGCCAUACCGCGUGGGUGAAGAAGGCCUUCGGGUUGUAAAGCCCUUUUGUUGGGAAAGAAAAGCAGCAGGUUAAUACCCCGCUGUUCUGACGGUACCCAAAGAAUAAGCACCGGCUAACUUCGUG
RNAcentral lists this ribosomal RNA (492 nucleotides) under uncultured bacterium. RNAcentral describes it as "partial 16S ribosomal RNA". It matches the Rfam family "Bacterial small subunit ribosomal RNA", at positions 29 to 507 of the family's 1533-position model. The record is from RNAcentral.